This 253-nucleotide ribosomal RNA is filed under the name uncultured bacterium. Its description in RNAcentral is "partial 16S ribosomal RNA". It matches the Rfam family "Bacterial small subunit ribosomal RNA", at positions 524 to 776 of the family's 1533-position model. The record is from RNAcentral.
UACAGAGGGUGCAAGCGUUAAUCGGAAUUACUGGGCGUAAAGGGCGCGUAGGUGGAUACGUAAGUCAUAUGUGAAAGCCCUGGGCUCAACCUGGGAAUGGCCUAUGAGACUGCGUAUCUGGAGUAGAGUAGAGGGAAGUGGAAUUUCCGGUGUAGCGGUGAAAUGCGUAGAUAUCGGAAGGAACACCAGUGGCGAAGGCGGCUUCCUGGACUCAUACUGACACUGAGGCGCGAAAGCGUGGGGAGCAAACAGG